UGGGGAAUAUUGGACAAUGGGCGAAAGCCUGAUCCAGCCAUGCCGCGUGUGUGAAGAAGGUCUUCGGAUUGUAAAGCACUUUAAGUUGGGAGGAAGGGCAGUAAGCGAAUACCUUGCUGUUUUGACGUUACCGACAGAAUAAGCACCGGCUAACUCUGUGCCAGCAGCCGCGGUAAUACAGAGGGUGCAAGCGUUAAUCGGAAUUACUGGGCGUAAAGCGCGCGUAGGUGGUUCGUUAAGUUGAAUGUGAAAGCCCCGGGCUCAACCUUGGAACUGCAUCCAAAACUGGCGAGCUAGAGUAGGGCAGAGGGUGGUGGAAUGUCCUGUGUAGCGGUGAAAUGCGUAGAUAUAGGAAGGAGCACCAGUGGCGAAGGCGACCACCUGGGCUCAUACUGACACUGAGGUGCGAAAGCGUGGGGAGCAAACAGG
Molecule: ribosomal RNA, 429 nt
Filed under: Pseudomonadota bacterium
Lineage: Bacteria; Pseudomonadati; Pseudomonadota
Description: Proteobacteria bacterium partial 16S ribosomal RNA
Rfam family: Bacterial small subunit ribosomal RNA
Source: RNAcentral